Non-coding RNA from Gossypium hirsutum (cotton), 107 nucleotides. Lineage: Eukaryota; Viridiplantae; Streptophyta; Magnoliopsida; Malvales; Malvaceae. The record is from Rfam.
AACCCAUGGUGAGGGCACCUUCUCAAUAAAUCCUUAUACCUCUCCCAUGCAUCAUAUAGAGUCUCUAAAUCCAUUUGCACCAAGGAAGAGAUAUCAUUCCUCAACUU